CAGCCGCCGCGGUAAUACGAAGGGGGCUAGCGUUGUUCGGAAUUACUGGGCGUAAAGCGCACGUAGGCUGACAUUUAAGUCAGGGGUGAAAUCCCGGGGCUCAACCUCGGAACUGCCUUUGAUACUGGGUGUCUUGAGUGUGGAAGAGGUAAGUGGAAUUGCGAGUGUAGAGGUGAAAUUCGUAGAUAUUCGGAAGAACACCAGUGGCGAAGGCGACAUACUGGAUCAUUACUGACGCUGAGGCUCGAAAGCGUGGGGAGCAAACAGGAUUAGAUACCCGGGUAGUCCCUGUCUCUUAUAC
RNAcentral lists this ribosomal RNA (301 nucleotides) under uncultured bacterium. RNAcentral describes it as "partial 16S ribosomal RNA". It matches the Rfam family "Bacterial small subunit ribosomal RNA", at positions 509 to 807 of the family's 1533-position model. The record is from RNAcentral.